This 1100-nucleotide long non-coding RNA is filed under the name Homo sapiens (human). Its description in RNAcentral is "HSALNT0292299". Lineage: Eukaryota; Metazoa; Chordata; Mammalia; Primates; Hominidae. The record is from RNAcentral.
GCGCUCCAGGGCGGGCUUGGAAAUGGAGACAAACUCCUCCGAGCCGUUAAGGCUCAGCCGGACAGGGCUUAGGAGUCCCGAGCCCAGUCCUGUUCACCCCCAUUUUAUAGAAAGGGAAACUGAGGCCCAGACAGGGGAAAGUCACUUGCCGAGGUGUUUGCUGCAGACUGCGUUGACCGAACCUGCUUUUUCACAGCAGUCAGACAGCAAGCCCUCCCGUCCCUCCAGGACCCUAGUUCCUGGGGAGGAAGGCGUUCUCAGCGAUAAUGACCAGCAUUAAAGUGCUCCCCGUUACCGGCGUCACUGCCCCAGCCAGUGGAGGCCCCGGAGAGGGACUGAAGAUGUGUCACCUAACUUCUCUGAACCUUCCUCCCUCAAGGAGAACUGAUAAUCCCUAACUCACAGUUCUGUGAGGAUUGAAUGCCUUAAGCAUGCAGGUUAAGUGGCUACUGAAGGCAGUUUUUGUGGACAGAAACUGGUCCCAGCGUCAGAUCUGCGAUGCUGCCCAGGCAUGGUGGUGACCCUCUCUAAACAAGCACACUCAGAAUUUCCCUGGCUCGGCUGGGCGACUCAGAAGAAAACUGGCCAUCAGCUUCUGCCUCAAGCGGGUGCUGUGGCAAGGAAGACAGAGCAUGUGUGUUGUGAACACUCAUUAGAGGAUCAUCCCUGCUGUGCCAGGUGCCAUGGCGCUGGAUGCAGAAAGCAGGACACAUGGAAAGAUGGUGUGUUCACAAAGAAUUUGGAAGAAAGCCAGAUGGUGACAAGAGUGUGUCUCUGAAUGCCCCUUUUGGGGGUCACUAAAAAUGCCCCAGGGUUUUUAGUUAGACCAAAAAGGAGGCUUCAAAGAGAUGACUUCUGAGCCGGGUUGUGAUACAUCUAGGAUGUCAACAGGCAGAGAAAGGGCAGGGACUGGGAGUAAGGAAAGAACAUCUGUUCAAGGCAAAACACUGAUUACCAAAGUUUCUAUCAUCCUUAUGUUGACAACGGACAUAAUUUUAACCUUUUGUAUAAGCCAGACUGUAAAGGAUUAUUAGCAGAAUAAAAGCAUCUAUUGGGCCUGGUGCAGUGGCUCACGCCUGUAAUCCAAGCACUUUGGGAGG